This 464-nucleotide ribosomal RNA is filed under the name uncultured bacterium. Its description in RNAcentral is "bacterial SSU rRNA". It matches the Rfam family "Bacterial small subunit ribosomal RNA", at positions 28 to 488 of the family's 1533-position model. The record is from RNAcentral.
GACGAACGCUGGCGGCGUGCCUAACAAAUGCAAGUCGAACGAGAAUCUUUGAACAGAUCUUUUCGGAGUGACGUUUAAAGAGGAAAGUGGCGGACGGGCGAGUAACGCGUGAGUAACCUGCCCAUAAGAGGGGGAUAAUCCAUGGAAACGUGGACUAAUACCGCAUAUUGUAGUUAAGUUGCAUGACUUGAUUAUGAAAGAUUUAUCGCUUAUGGAUGGACUCGCGUCAGAUUAGAUAGUUGGUGAGGUAACGGCUCACCAAGUCAACGAUCUGUAGCCGAACUGAGAGGUUGAUCGGCCGCAUUGGGACUGAGACACGGCCCAGACUCCUACGGGAGGCAGCAGUGGGGAAUAUUGCGCAAUGGGGGCAACCCUGACGCAGCAACGCCGCGUGCAGGAAGAAGGUCUUCGGAUUGUAAACUGUUGUCGCAAGGGAAGAAGACAGUGACGGUACCUUGUGAGAA